CGCGGCCUAUCAGCUUGUUGGUGGGGUAAAGGCCUACCAAGGCGACGACGGGUAGCCGGCCUGAGAGGGCGACCGGUCACACUGGGACUGAGACACGGCCCAGACUCCUACGGGAGGCAGCAGUAGGGAAUAUUGCGCAAUGGACGAAAGUCUGACGCAGCAACGCCGCGUGAGGGAUGAAGUACAUCGAGAUGUAAACCUCUUUCAGCAGGGACGAAGCUAACGUGACGGUACCUGCAGAAGAAGCACCGGCUAACUACGUGCCAGCAGCCGCGGUAAUACGUAGGGUGCAAGCGUUGUCCGGAUUUAUUGGGCGUAAAGGGCUCGUAGGCGGUCUGUCGCGUCGGAUGUGAAAACUCGGAGCUUAACUCCGGGCCUGCAUUCGAUACGGGCAGACUAGAGUUCGGUAGGGGAGACUGGAAUUUCUGGUGUAGCGGUGGAAUGCGCAGAUAUCAGGAAGAACACCGAUGGCGAAGGCAGGUCUCUGGGCCGACACUGACGCUGAGGAGCGAAAGCAUGGGGAGCGAACAGGAUUAGAUACCCUGGUAGUCCACACCGUAAACGUUGGGCGCUAGGUGUGGGGUCCAUUCCACGGAUUCCGUGCCGCAGCUAACGCAUUAAGCGCCCCGCCUGGGGAGUACGG
RNAcentral lists this ribosomal RNA (643 nucleotides) under uncultured bacterium. RNAcentral describes it as "bacterial SSU rRNA". It matches the Rfam family "Bacterial small subunit ribosomal RNA", at positions 232 to 885 of the family's 1533-position model. The record is from RNAcentral.